GAUGAACGCUGGCGGCGUGCCUAAUACAUGCAAGUCGAGCGAACGGACGAGAAGCUUGCUUUUCUGAUGUUAGCGGCGGACGGGUGAGUAACACGUGGAUAACCUACCUAUAAGACUGGGAUAACUUCGGGAAACCGGAGCUAAUACCGGAUAAUAUUUUGAACCGCAUGGUUCAUAAGUGAAAGACGGUCUUGCUGUCACUUAUAGAUGGAUCCGCGCUGCAUUAGCUAGUUGGUAAGGUAACGGCUUACCAAGGCAACGAUGCAUAGCCGACCUGAGAGGGUGAUCGGCCACACUGGAACUGAGACACGGUCCAGACUCCUACGGGAGGCAGCAGGAGGGAAUCUUCCGCAAUGGGCGAAAGCCUGACGGAGCAACGCCGCGUGAGUGAUGAAGGUCUUCGGAUCGUAAAACUCUGUUAUUAGGGAAGAACAUAUGUGUAAGUAACUGUGCACAUCUUGACGGUACCUAAUCAGAAAGCCACGGCUAACUACGU
RNAcentral lists this ribosomal RNA (496 nucleotides) under uncultured bacterium. Its description in RNAcentral is "partial 16S ribosomal RNA". It matches the Rfam family "Bacterial small subunit ribosomal RNA", at positions 28 to 506 of the family's 1533-position model. The record is from RNAcentral.